UUAGUUGCAGGGCAGACGGGUGAGUAACACGUUGGAAUCUGCCCCGAACUCAGGGAUAACAUCGAGAAAUCGGUGAUAAUACCGGAUAGUCUCCGACUCGUCGGAGUAAAGAUUUAUCGGUUCGGGAGGAGCCUGCGUAGUAUCAGCUUGUUGGUGAGGUAAAAGCUCACCAAGGCUAUGACGCUUAGCUGGUCUGAGAGGAUGAUCAGUCACAAUGGAACUGAGACACGGUCCAUACUCC
RNAcentral lists this ribosomal RNA (241 nucleotides) under uncultured bacterium. RNAcentral's name for it is "partial 16S ribosomal RNA". It matches the Rfam family "Bacterial small subunit ribosomal RNA", at positions 87 to 339 of the family's 1533-position model. The record is from RNAcentral.